GACGUAGGGUGCAAGCGUUGUCCGGAUUUAUUGGGCGUAAAGAGCUCGUAGGCGGCUUGUUGCGUCGACUGUGAAAACCCGCGGCUUAACCGCGGGCUUGCAGUUGAUACGGGCAGGCUAGAGUUCGGUAGGGGAGACUGGAAUUCCUGGUGUAGCGGUGAAAUGCGCAGAUAUCAGGAGGAACACCGGUGGCGAAGGCGGGUCUCUGGGUCGAUACUGACGCUGAGGAGCGAAAGCGUGGGGAGCGAACAGG
This 253-nucleotide ribosomal RNA is filed under the name uncultured bacterium. Its description in RNAcentral is "partial 16S ribosomal RNA". It matches the Rfam family "Bacterial small subunit ribosomal RNA", at positions 524 to 776 of the family's 1533-position model. The record is from RNAcentral.